This 468-nucleotide ribosomal RNA is filed under the name uncultured bacterium. RNAcentral describes it as "partial 16S ribosomal RNA". It matches the Rfam family "Bacterial small subunit ribosomal RNA", at positions 28 to 507 of the family's 1533-position model. The record is from RNAcentral.
GACGAACGCUGGCGGCGUGCUUAACACAUGCAAGUCGAACGGAAAGGCCCUGCUUUUGUGGGGUGCUCGAGUGGCGAACGGGUGAGUAACACGUGAGUAACCUGCCCUUGACUUUGGGAUAACUUCAGGAAACUGGGGCUAAUACCGGAUAGGAGCUCCUGCUGCAUGGUGGGGGUUGGAAAGUUUCGGCGGUUGGGGAUGGACUCGCGGCUUAUCAGCUUGUUGGUGGGGUAGUGGCUUACCAAGGCUUUGACGGGUAGCCGGCCUGAGAGGGUGACCGGCCACAUUGGGACUGAGAUACGGCCCAGACUCCAACGGGAGGCAGCAGUGGGGAAUAUGGCACAAUGGGCGGAAGCGUGAUGCAGCAACGCCGCGUGCGGGAUGACGGCCUUCGGGUUGUAAACCGCUUUCGCCUGUGACGAAGCGUGAGUGACGGUAAUGGGUAAAGAAGCACCGGCUAACUACGUG